AUGAACCUUUGAGGGUUGAGCUGGCGUUUAUUCGCAUGUGCUUGCCCUCUCAUCCUUUAUACACCUGUGCACUUUUGAAGGGAGAUACCCAUUUAGUUAGACAUUCACUUGUCGAAGGUAUCUCCCUUUACACUACAUACUCUAAUGAUUACUUUGAAUGUUUAAACGCUUAACAGCAUUUAAUUA
This 186-nucleotide unclassified non-coding RNA is filed under the name soil metagenome. RNAcentral's name for it is "partial internal transcribed spacer 1". The record is from RNAcentral.